This 497-nucleotide ribosomal RNA is filed under the name uncultured bacterium. RNAcentral describes it as "partial 16S ribosomal RNA". It matches the Rfam family "Bacterial small subunit ribosomal RNA", at positions 28 to 507 of the family's 1533-position model. The record is from RNAcentral.
GAUGAACGCUGGCGGCGUGCCUAAUACAUGCAAGUCGAGCGAACAGAUGAGGAGCUUGCUCCUCUGACGUUAGCGGCGGACGGGUGAGUAACACGUGGAUAACCUACCUAUAAGACUGGGAUAACUUCGGGAAACCGGAGCUAAUACCGGAUAAUAUAUUGAACCGCAUGGUUCAAUAGUGAAAGACGGUUUUGCUGUCACUUAUAGAUGGAUCCGCGCCGCAUUAGCUAGUUGGUAAGGUAACGGCUUACCAAGGCAACGAUGCGUAGCCGACCUGAGAGGGUGAUCGGCCACGCUGGAACUGAGACACGGUCCAGACUCCUACGGGAGGCAGCAGUAGGGAAUCUUCCGCAAUGGGCGAAAGCCUGACGGAGCAACGCCGCGUGAGUGAUGGAGGUAUUCGGAUCGUAAAACUCUGUUAUUAGGGAAGAACCAAUGUGUAAGUAACUAUGCACGUCUUGACGGUACCUAAUCAGAAAGCCACGGCUAACUACGUG